This 398-nucleotide long non-coding RNA is filed under the name Camarhynchus parvulus. Its description in RNAcentral is "lncRNA (ENSCPVG00000012100.2)". The record is from RNAcentral. Lineage: Eukaryota; Metazoa; Chordata; Aves; Passeriformes; Thraupidae.
AGAAAAAAAAAUUACUGCCAUGGUAGAAUUUAAGGACUUCUCUAAAGGGAUAAUACAGCUGGAAUGGGAACACAAGAAAAUGAAAAUGCAGAUACAAGAUCUGAAAGAGAAGGCUCGGGAUAUUGUAAUCCUACCAAUUUCAAAAGAUUGCCAGCUAUUCCUAACUGUGCAUAACUACGACACCCACAUUGCUCAGCACCUAGCAGGGAUGGAGCAGAGCCUCAGCGUCAUGGAUAAGGUAAAUCCAAGGGAACCACCACAUCUGAGAGACACAUAGAUAUAUAGAUAUAAAUAUAGAUAUAUCAUGUAUUUGUCCAUCUGGCUUUCAAUAGUUUCCUCAGCUUGAGCUGUGCUGUCUACAGCAGCAGCUCUCUAGUGUUUGGAAGCAGUCAUCACAC